GGGAAACGUGGCACAAAGGAGACAUCUCCCAGAGAGGGAGGAGGAUAGAGCUAAAUCUGAAUAUGUAGGUUCAUCUUGAGCCUGGGAGACUUACUAAAAACAAACAGUCAGAACACAGCACUACAGGAAUGCUGUGGAUAUCCCAAGGAGUGACAAGGUACCACCAACAAAUCCUUUGCCAGUGGAAUCAGGCAGCUGUGGGACAGGAGCUGGGGCCAGGAAUCGGGAUGUUUCCUCAUCUGGGGAGAAUUUCCUAACUGCACUAUGCCAGAGCUCAAACAAACUGAUUUAAUAUCAAAGAUAGAUCUAAGCUGGAGUUUGGGUGUGAAACUGCAGACAUCCCUCUUGAAAGAUCAAAACAAAGGUAUUGUCCAACAAAAAGGAGUGGUGGAGGGAGAUUAGGAGGCAGUGAUAAGCCAAAGAAGGGGCGCGUGAUAGCAGGAAAAACAUGGGCUUGGUCAGGAUAUCAGGGCUGGCUCAGGCAAGGCUGAUGUGGCAAGAUCUGACUGUGCCCUAUAAAUCUAGCCCCAGGCUCAGCAUUGUGCAUUGCCCCAGCCUGAAGUACUGAGUACUCUGUUGGAAGGAAGAAGCCAUGAAGGGACAGAUCUGUGUUGCAGUCCUGGCUGUUUGUCUCCUAGUGCUCGGAGGCACGGAGGCAGCUCCCCUGGACCAAAAUGGCAUUAGCUGGAACCAAGGUGAAGGUGGUGGCUUCAACAAUGGGAACGGCUAUGAAACCCCUGUCAUCUAUGAUCCUCAGGGUACCCUAGGGAACCGUGGCGGCUUUGAUGGGGUCGGUGGCCAGAGCUUCAAUGAUAAUGGGAAUGGCUUCAAACCCCCCAUCAUCUAUGAUCCUCAGGAUACCCUAGGGAACCGUGGCGGCUUUGAUGGGGUCGGUGACCAGGGCUUCAAUGAUAAUGGGAUGAAACUGUUUUGAGGCACAAGUCACCCAAGACUCCUGAAUAUUUUCCAUCUGAUUUCAAUCUAUAAUCCUAAAUCUACCCUGAUGAUGAAGAACUUCGCUUAGGAAUGCAGAGAUCCUACAUCCUUUCCCUGGUGCAAUGCAAAUAAACAUGAAUCUUACACCA
Molecule: long non-coding RNA, 1085 nt
Filed under: Numida meleagris (helmeted guineafowl)
Lineage: Eukaryota; Metazoa; Chordata; Aves; Galliformes; Numididae
Description: lncRNA (ENSNMEG00000016590.1)
Source: RNAcentral